RNAcentral lists this ribosomal RNA (301 nucleotides) under uncultured bacterium. RNAcentral describes it as "partial 16S ribosomal RNA". It matches the Rfam family "Bacterial small subunit ribosomal RNA", at positions 509 to 809 of the family's 1533-position model. The record is from RNAcentral.
CAGUAGCCGCGGUAAUACGAGGGGGGCAAGCGUUGUUCGGAAUUAUUGGGCGUAAAGGGUGCGUAGGCGGUUUGGCAAGUUUGGUGUGAAAUCUUCGGGCUCAACUCGAAGUCUGCAUCGAAAACUGCCGGGCUUGAGUAUGGGAGAGGUGAGUGGAAUUUCCGGUGUAGCGGUGAAAUGCGUAGAUAUCGGAAGGAACACCUGUGGCGAAAGCGGCUCACUGGACCAUAACUGACGCUGAUGCACGAAAGCUAGGGGAGCAAACAGGAUUAGAUACCCCCGUAGUCCCUGUCUCUUAUAA